This 253-nucleotide ribosomal RNA is filed under the name uncultured bacterium. RNAcentral describes it as "partial 16S ribosomal RNA". It matches the Rfam family "Bacterial small subunit ribosomal RNA", at positions 524 to 776 of the family's 1533-position model. The record is from RNAcentral.
GACGGAGGGUGCAAGCGUUGUUCGGAAUUACUGGGCGUAAAGCGCACGUAGGCGGAUUUGUAAGUCAGGGGUGAAAUCCCGGGGCUCAACCUCGGAACUGCCUUUGAUACUGCAAAUCUCGAGUCCGGAAGAGGUGAGUGGAAUUCCUAGUGUAGAGGUGAAAUUCGUAGAUAUUAGGAAGAACACCAGUGGCGAAGGCGGCUUACUGGUCCGGAACUGACGCUGAGGUGCGAAAGCGUGGGGAGCAAACAGG